ACCACCCCUCUCCUCCAGCCUAUGGACCAGGGAGCUAUCUCAGCAUUCAAGGCAUGCUAUUUGCAUGCAAUAUUUGCCAAAGCAAUAGCCGCAAUGGAGGAUGAUAGGAUAAGCUUGCGCGAGUUUUGGAAAGGCUACAAUAUCCUCCAUGCUAUUGAAAACAUUGCAGCUGCAUGGCAGAAUGUUAGUGUGAAGUGCAUGCAAGGGAUUUGGAAAAAGUGUUUGAAACCUUUUGCUGUUGUAAAUGAUUUUGAAGGAUUUGACCACAAUGAAAAUGUGGACGAAAUAAAUAAGAAAACUUUGACACUAAUGAAAUCCCUUGAUUUAGAGGUUGAUGCUGAAGAUGUGAGAAAUUUGGUAUCCUACACUGAGGGAGAGCUUUCAAACGAAGAUUUAAUUGAACUGAAAGAAGAAUUGGAAGCACAACGGCUACUGGAAGAAGAAGGAAAAGAACAAGAAAAAGAAGGAAAAAAAAAUGUAGAAGUUAAGCCCAAAAUAUUCAGUGCGAAAAGAUUGGCUGGUGUUUUCUCAUGCGUUAACAAAAUUUUAUCAGAAUUAGAAAGUAUGGAUCCAAAUGUAGAACGUUUUAGAACGGUACAUUGGGAAAUGCAUGAAAUCUUAAAGUGUUAUCGUGAAAUAUAUGAAGGAAAAAAGAAAAAAAGAAAAAAAUCUCCAACUCCAUUUCCCUCCCUAUUUCCCUCCCCAUCCACUGGAAUAAAACACCGAAAUGAUUCUCAGCCGUCAACCAGCUAUGCCAGUGUAUCUGAAGUUUCUGAAAACACACAAAAAAAUGAACCUUUCAAAGGAUUUAUAUCGAAUUUGAUGUUUACAGGCAUUCCAACGGAUACGAUGCUAAAAUCUCCGAAAUUGGAGGAAGAGGCCUUGGACAUUGUGAGGAUGAAGUUUCCUCUGGAGAUAAAGCAAGAGAAUGAUGGGGAAGCUAACUAACUAGAUUGAUCAGGAAUGAAGGAUUCUUGGAGCUGAAGUGUGGACAUCUAGGGAAGGUUGAGCUUAACUGUAAUGUGAUUUGUUCGGCUUAGUAUGUUGCAUGGACCCAGCAAUGAUGAAUACAAUGGACAUGGGCCAAUCCAUAAGGAGAAGACCUUCCAGGUGGGAAGAUCUGAAGAAAUAAACACUUGCAAGAGUUUGGAAUAAAUCAAAAGAUAAUUUUUCUGGGGUUCCAGGAUUAAAAGUAAACCAGUAAAUCCAAGGGAGCACAAAGGCAUUCACAAAAGAAAGCCAGUGAAGCUUUCCUGCCUGAAGGUGAUCAAAACUUAAAUGAAGCCAAUUUUCACUGUGGCAAAAAGGGUGGAAUUAAGAGGAGCCAGAGAUGAUGUCCAACCAUCAGUGUUCCAGAUACUCCACAUGUGCAAGCAAAGGAUAAAUUGCAUAAAUAUGAGAAAAAUAACAGCAAACCCUCUGUUAUUCAAAAGGGGAGCACUCUGUCGGCAAGAAAAAAGUAUAUACGCACAGAGUGCGGGAAACGUUUUGAUUGGAAAACAAACCUCGUGAAGCUCAAGAGAAUUCACAUGGGUGAGAAGCCCCAUAAGCACUCCUGUUGUGGGAUAAGCUUCCAUAAGAAAUCCAACCUGGUGGUUCAUAGGCAGAUUCAUACCAGGGAGAAACCAUACGGAUGCUCACUGUGUGAAAAAAGAUUCUGUAGUUCUUCCAUGCUUUAUAAACACAUAAAAAUCUAUCCAGGAGGGACAUCCUAGAGGGCAGGCAACAUACAGUCUCAGAGAUUGUGGAAAACAUCCAGAGAUGCUACUAGUACUGGAGUGAAACAGCAGGCAGGUGAGAAUCAAGCACAAUGGCUGUUGCUGGCUUUUAGAAAUACUGACACAUUAAAAUGUUAUAAAGAA
This is a non-coding RNA of Python bivittatus (Burmese python), 1862 nucleotides long. The record is from RefSeq and is a predicted model, not a curated record. NCBI's taxonomy places the organism in Eukaryota, Metazoa, Chordata, Lepidosauria, Squamata, Pythonidae.